GAUUCCCUAGUACUGCGAGUGAGCGGGAUGAGCUCAAAUUUAAAAUCUGGCGUCUUUGGCGUCCGAGUUGUAACCUAUAGAAGCGUUUUCGGCCGCCGGAUGUGGACAAGUCCCUUGGAACAGGGCGUCAUAGAGGGUGAGAAUCCCGUACUUGCUACAACACCGUGCGUCUAUGUGAUACGCUUUCAAAGAGUCGAGUUGUUUGGGAAUGCAGCUCUAAAUGGGACGUAUGUUCGUUCUAAGGCUAAAUAUUAACGAGAGACCGAUAGCGAACAAGUACCGUGAGGGAAAGAUGAAAAGCACUUUGGAAAGAGAGUUAAACAGUACGUGAAAUUGCUAAAAGGGAAGCGCUUGAAGUCAGUCGCGUCUUUGGGGAUUCAGCCUUGACCGGUGCAUUUCCUCUUCGACGGGCCAACAUCGAUUUCUGCCGCGGGAAAAGGGCGUGAGGAAUGUGGCAGCUUCGGCUGUGUUAUAGCCUCGCGUCGUAUGCCGUGGUGGGGAUCGAGGACCGCAGCUUCGGCUUAGGAUGUUGGCGUAAUGGCUUUAAGCGACCCGUCUUGAA
This 562-nucleotide ribosomal RNA is filed under the name Dacrymyces chrysocomus. Its description in RNAcentral is "eukaryotic LSU rRNA". It matches the Rfam family "Eukaryotic large subunit ribosomal RNA", at positions 73 to 658 of the family's 3401-position model. Lineage: Eukaryota; Fungi; Basidiomycota; Dacrymycetes; Dacrymycetales; Dacrymycetaceae. The record is from RNAcentral.